This 72-nucleotide transfer RNA is filed under the name Phrynosoma platyrhinos (Desert horned lizard). RNAcentral's name for it is "tRNA-OTHER". Lineage: Eukaryota; Metazoa; Chordata; Lepidosauria; Squamata; Phrynosomatidae. The record is from RNAcentral.
GCCAGCAUGGCAUAGUGGUUUAAGUGUUGGACUAGGACUCUGGAGACCAGGGUUCAAAUCCCCACUCAGCCA